This 280-nucleotide ribosomal RNA is filed under the name uncultured Oscillospiraceae bacterium. RNAcentral's name for it is "partial 16S ribosomal RNA". It matches the Rfam family "Bacterial small subunit ribosomal RNA", at positions 59 to 339 of the family's 1533-position model. Lineage: Bacteria; Bacillati; Bacillota; Clostridia; Eubacteriales; Oscillospiraceae. The record is from RNAcentral.
ACAGAAGCCUUCGGGCGGAAGAUGAUAUAACUUAGUGGCGGACGGGUGAGUAACACGUGAGCAACCUGCCUAUCAGAGGGGGAUAACGUUCUGAAAAGAACGCUAAUACCGCAUGAAGUACGAAAGGGACAUCCCAUUUGUACCAAAGGAGCAAUCCGCUGAUAGAUGGGCUCGCGUCCGAUUAGGUAGUUGGUAGGGUAACGGCCUACCAAGCCGACGAUCGGUAGCCGGACUGAGAGGUUGAACGGCCACAUUGGGACUGAGACACGGCCCAGACUCC